UGGGAGACGGCGGAGAACCACACCGUGGAAGGAGGGGGGGAGGAAGGUGCAAUGCGGGUUGUGUGACCAAGAGGGGCAUAACCGAAGAACAUGCCCUAAGCGGAAUGAGGUACCGACAAGUGGUGGUGUCGCAGACUAGGAUGCUUCUUCACAUCGUCUGGAGGCUUGAGGAGUUAUGAACACCCCCUUAAUGAGGUGAAGCCUGUGCCAAGGGUGGAAAUUUCUGGUCAGGUGUGUGGUGUAACUUUCACCGUGGAUGAAGAGUCGAAGAGGGAAAAUGUCGGCAUGCCAAGAGUUGGAAGUGCUACCAACUGCUCAUCUAACUACUAAUAUUGUUAUAGUUUCCUUUUAUGGCAUGGCUAUCAUUAUUAGUGGGCCUUGCCUUUGAUCUCCUUUUUGUUAUCAUACUACUCUCAUCUUGAAAGGCUUGAAAUGCUUUUAUGGGUGCUUAGAUUUAUAUCCUUUUUAGUACUACCAAAGACAUGAUUUUAUGUUGCUGUACAUGUUGCGUAAUGUCAAACUAAGCCAGGAUCUCAAGUUUGAUACAAGAAAUAAUAUGAUUGCUCUUCAAGACUGAUCAAUGGUAGAUUUCUAUUUGAUAU
Molecule: long non-coding RNA, 602 nt
Organism: Quercus robur (English oak)
Lineage: Eukaryota; Viridiplantae; Streptophyta; Magnoliopsida; Fagales; Fagaceae
Exons: 2
Source: RefSeq, a predicted model, not a curated record